GAUGAACGCUGGCGGCGUGCCUAAUACAUGCAAGUCGAGCGAACGGACGAGAAGCUUUCUUCUCUGAUGUUAGCGGCGGACGUGUGAGUAACACGUGGAUAACCUACCUAUAAGACUGGGAUAACUUCGGUAACCCGGAGCUAAUACCGGAUAAUAUUUUGAACCGCAUGGUUCAAAAGUGAAAGCCGGUCUUGCUGUCACUUAUAGAUGGAUCCGCGCUGCAUUAGCUAGUUGGUAAGGUAACGGCUUACCAAGGCAACGAUGCAUAGCCGACCUGAGAGGGUGAUCGGCCACACUGGAACUGAGACACGGGCCCGACUCCUACGGGAGGCAGCAGUAGGGAAUCUUCCGAAAUGGGCGAAAGCCUGACGGAGCAACGGCGCGUGAGUGAUGAAGGUCUUCGGAUCGGAAAACUCUGUUAUUAGGGAAGAACAUAUGUGUAAGUAACUGUGCACAUCUUGACGGUACCUAAUCAGAAAGCCACGGCUAAAUACGUG
RNAcentral lists this ribosomal RNA (497 nucleotides) under uncultured bacterium. RNAcentral's name for it is "partial 16S ribosomal RNA". It matches the Rfam family "Bacterial small subunit ribosomal RNA", at positions 28 to 507 of the family's 1533-position model. The record is from RNAcentral.